This 954-nucleotide non-coding RNA is filed under the name Notolepis coatsorum (Antarctic jonasfish). Its description in RNAcentral is "12S ribosomal RNA". It matches the Rfam family "Bacterial small subunit ribosomal RNA". The record is from RNAcentral. Lineage: Eukaryota; Metazoa; Chordata; Actinopteri; Aulopiformes; Paralepididae.
CAAAAGCUUGGUCCUGGCUUUACUGUCAUCUUUAGCCAAACUUACACAUGCAAGUCUCCGCACCCCCGUGAGAAUGCCCUCAGUCCCCUUAUCGGGGACAAGGAGCCGGUAUCAGGCACGCCCCAAUCUGCGCAGCCCAAGACACCUUGCUCAGCCACACCCCCAAGGGAGUUCAGCAGUGAUAGACAUUAAGCAAUAAGUGAAAACUUGACUUAGUUAAAGCUAACAGGGCCGGUCAACCUCGUGCCAGCCACCGCGGUUAUACGAGCGGGCCCAAGCUGACAGACAUCGGCGUAAAGCGUGGUUACGGAACAGCCCAACUAAAGUCAAACAUUCCCUAUGCUGUUAUACGCUUUUGGGGACCGGAUGCCCCACCACUAAAGUAACUUUAAAAGCCCUCCCGAACCCACCACAGCUACGAAACAAACUGGGAUUAGAUACCCCACUAUGCUUAGCCGUAAACUUUGAUGGUAAUAUACAACUACCAUCCGCCCGGGGACUACAAGCACUAGCUUUAAACCCAAAGGACUUGGCGGCACUUCAGACCCACCUAGAGGAGCCUGUUCUAGAACCGAUAUUCCCCGUUCAACCUCACCACCUCUGGCUAAUACCGCCUAUAUACCACCGUCGCCAGCUUACCCUGUGAAGGCCUCAUAGUAAGCAAAACGGGCACAGCCCCAAACGUCAGGUCGAGGUGUAGCGAAUGAGGCGGGAAGAAAUGGGCUACAUUCUCUUACCCUAGAGAACACGAACGGUAUAAUGAAACACGUACCCGAAGGCGGAUUUAGCAGUAAGAAGAAAAAACGAGUGUUCUUCUGAAGCCGGCUCUGAAGCGCGCACACACCGCCCGUCACUCUCCCCUAAAUCUACCUGCCACGUUAAUAAAAAUUUUUUGAUAAAAGGGGAGGCAAGUCGUAACAUGGUAAGUGUACCGGAAGGUGUACUUGGAUAAUC